This 253-nucleotide ribosomal RNA is filed under the name uncultured bacterium. RNAcentral describes it as "partial 16S ribosomal RNA". It matches the Rfam family "Bacterial small subunit ribosomal RNA", at positions 524 to 776 of the family's 1533-position model. The record is from RNAcentral.
UACGUAGGGACCGAGCGUUGUCCGGAAUCAUUGGGCGUAAAGAGCGUGUAGGCGGCUUGUUAAGUCUUGCGUGAAAUCUCGGGGCUCAACCCCGAGCGGUCGUGAGAAACUGGCAGGCUAGAGUCCGGAAGAGGAGAGUGGAAUUCCUGGUGUAGCGGUGAAAUGCGCAGAUAUCAGGAGGAACACCCGUGGCGAAAGCGGCUCUCUGGGACGGUACUGACGCUGAGACGCGAAAGCGUGGGGAGCAAACAGG